Thalassophryne amazonica is the source of this 523-nucleotide long non-coding RNA. RefSeq lists it as uncharacterized. The transcript has 3 exons. The record is from RefSeq and is a predicted model, not a curated record. Lineage: Eukaryota; Metazoa; Chordata; Actinopteri; Batrachoidiformes; Batrachoididae.
UUGUUUUUUGGUGCCGCCUCUCUGUGUCCUCCAACCAUGGGUGCGGCGGUUUAGGGGGGUGCCGCGCAAGCAAAAUCCCAGAAAGGCACCAUCAAAAAACAACAAACACGCCAUCACAAAGAAAACAUCGUCUUGAUCUUAAAACGGGGGCUGUGGCGGCCUGACCAGCUACUUGAGGGAAAACUUGAUAUUUUUUGGAAACCAAAUUUUACAGCAGAAACAGCGUUUUCAUAAAUUUCCAAAGGCCUUAUGCACUGAAUUGGAUUAUAAGGAAUCUUUCUGAGACAACUGCAACAUCAAAGUGAAAACAUUUGGAUUGUUCCCUGAGAUCGACUGUGCCCUCUAUCCAAAGGAUCUGCUGCUGCUUAUCCACUCCACCUGGAACAACUUAGAUGAGCUCAGCCUGCUAAUAACUUGUCAACAAGUGCAAGGUCUUCUUCAACAUCUGCUUCCUCAUCACUCUCUUUGGCCAUCAACAGUGAAAUUACACCACAUGAUUCUGCAUUUUUUGGGUGUGUUCAUG